Molecule: ribosomal RNA, 274 nt
Filed under: uncultured bacterium
Lineage: Bacteria
Description: partial 16S ribosomal RNA
Rfam family: Bacterial small subunit ribosomal RNA
Source: RNAcentral
AUACGGAGGGGGUUAGCGUUGUUCGGAAUUACUGGGCGUAAAGCGCACGUAGGCGGAUUGGAAAGUUGGGGGUGAAAUCCCGGGGCUCAACCCUGGAACUGCCUCCAAAACUAACAGUCUAGAGUUCGAGAGAGGUGAGUGGAAUUCCAAGUGUAGAGGUGAAAUUCGUAGAUAUUUGGAGGAACACCAGUGGCGAAGGCGGCUCACUGGCUCGAUACUGACGCUGAGGUGCGAAAGCGUGGGGAGCAAACAGGAUUAGAAACCCUAGUAGUCC